UCACCCCCAUGCCCCUGUCCUAUCUGAGUGCCACCAGUCCGUCAUUCUGAGAGCAAUUCUACAACUUGAACGCCCCAGAGGGCACGGCGGAUGCCCCGGUCGUUUGGCCCAGGCCCCUGAGGAAAGGGCUGCACCCGGAGAAGUGCUGGCUGUCCCACAGACAACCUCUGAGACAGCAGGCUGCAGGGCUUAUCAUAAAGCAUACACAAGCACACAGACCUGUCCUGUAUCGCUAACCUGUUCUCGCCAGUCUGGUCCACCAGAGUGGAAGUUCCCUGAGCAAGGCAAAAAGUGACCUUCGGUAUCAGUGUAGAGCAGCCGUCUCAGAAAUGCAGGGUCCCAGCCCAAGUCUGGACGGCCUGGAUGGCGGUGCCUGAGUUCAGGUGUAAGUCUGCAUGAGGCCAGAUGUCGACGGCGAAUCGCAGCACCCUAUCCUCACCCUGACACUAGCAGGAAAGCCGCGCACCAAGCAGAUGCCAACCAGGGGGAUGGGGAGGGAGGGCAAGGCGCCCGCCGGGCAGCCAGCGGGACAGGAAAGAGUGAGGAGCAGCGAAGGCUGGCCCACAGGGGACGAGGCGGUGGAAGGCUCCGGGCGGCCGCGGGCCCCAGAGGGCUCUCUCCGACCUGCAGGCCUAGAAACCGGUCGUGGGACGCCGUUUGGCUGCCAGCUCGGCCCCCUCCGCCCGGAAGCGCGCACAAGCCGUGCCCUGCCCGCACCACACCGCACCGCACGCCGCAGUCCGCACUCCCGCCCCGCUCCGGCAGGCUCCGCGCUCAGCCGGGCACAGGUGCCUGCUCGCCCUCACGGGAGAGCCGGAGCGGGGCGAGGCUCCGAGACACCUCCCGGCCCGCCGCCGGGCACCGCUGACUCCGCGGAGG
Molecule: long non-coding RNA, 879 nt
Organism: Octodon degus (degu)
Lineage: Eukaryota; Metazoa; Chordata; Mammalia; Rodentia; Octodontidae
Exons: 5
Source: RefSeq, a predicted model, not a curated record